This 1444-nucleotide ribosomal RNA is filed under the name uncultured organism. Its description in RNAcentral is "partial small subunit ribosomal RNA". It matches the Rfam family "Bacterial small subunit ribosomal RNA". The record is from RNAcentral.
GAACGCUGGCGGCGUGCUUAACACAUGCAAGUCGAACGGAAAGGCCCUGCUUUUGUGGGGUGCUCGAGUGGCGAACGGGUGAGUAACACGUGAGUAACCUGCCCUUGACUUUGGGAUAACUUCAGGAAACUGGGGCUAAUACCGGAUAGGAGCUCCUGCUGCAUGGUGGGGGUUGGAAAGUUUCGGCGGUUGGGGAUGGACUCGCGGCUUAUCAGCUUGUUGGUGGGGUAGUGGCUUACCAAGGCUUUGACGGGUAGCCGGCCUGAGAGGGUGACCGGCCACAUUGGGACUGAGAUACGGCCCAGACUCCUACGGGAGGCAGCAGUGGGGAAUAUUGCACAAUGGGCGGAAGCCUGAUGCAGCAACGCCGCGUGCGGGAUGACGGCCUUCGGGUUGUAAACCGCUUUCGCCUGUGACGAAGCGUGAGUGACGGUAAUGGGUAAAGAAGCACCGGCUAACUACGUGCCAGCAGCCGCGGUGAUACGUAGGGUGCGAGCGUUGUCCGGAUUUAUUGGGCGUAAAGGGCUCGUAGGUGGUUGAUCGCGUCGGAAGUGUAAUCUUGGGGCUUAACCCUGAGCGUGCUUUCGAUACGGGUUGACUUGAGGAAGGUAGGGGAGAAUGGAAUUCCUGGUGGAGCGGUGGAAUGCGCAGAUAUCAGGAGGAACACCAGUGGCGAAGGCGGUUCUCUGGGCCUUUCCUGACGCUGAGGAGCGAAAGCGUGGGGAGCGAACAGGCUUAGAUACCCUGGUAGUCCACGCUGUAAACGGUGGGUACUAGGUGUGGGGUCCAUUCCACGGGUUCCGUGCCGUAGCUAACGCUUUAAGUACCCCGCCUGGGGAGUACGGCCGCAAGGCUAAAACUCAAAGGAAUUGACGGGGCCCCGCACAAGCGGCGGAGCAUGCGGAUUAAUUCGAUGCAACGCGUAGAACCUUACCUGGGUUUGACAUGGAUCGGGAGUGCUCAGAGAUGGGUGUGCCUCUUUUGGGGUCGGUUCACAGGUGGUGCAUGGCUGUCGUCAGCUCGUGUCGUGAGAUGUUGGGUUAAGUCCCGCAACGAGCGCAACCCUUGUUCACUGUUGCCAGCACGUUAUGGUGGGGACUCAGUGGAGACCGCCGGGGUCAACUCGGAGGAAGGUGGGGAUGACGUCAAGUCAUCAUGCCCCUUAUGUCCAGGGAUUCACGCAUGCUACAAUGGCUGGUACAGAGAGUGGCGAGCCUGUGAGGGUGAGCGAAUCUCGGAAAGCCGGUCUCAGUUCGGAUUGGGGUCUGCAACUCGACCUCAUGAAGUCGGAGUCGCUAGUAAUCGCAGAUCAGCAACGCUGCGGUGAAUACGUUCCCGGGGCUUGUACACACCGCCCGUCAAGCCAUGAAAGUUGGUAACACCCGAAGCCGGUGGCCUAACCGUUGUGGGGGAGCCGUCGAAGGUGGGACUGGUGAUUAGGACU